Molecule: long non-coding RNA, 614 nt
Organism: Carassius carassius (crucian carp)
Lineage: Eukaryota; Metazoa; Chordata; Actinopteri; Cypriniformes; Cyprinidae
Exons: 4
Source: RefSeq, a predicted model, not a curated record
AUUAUUAUUUUUCAGGAUGACAUGAUCAGGAGGUGGCGGUGUUCUGUGCUCCUCGACAGCUUCACUCCGCAAAUAGCUCAACCACUGAGGGGAGGAACUUCACCAUUCAAAAGACAAUGUCUUCAGGCAGAGUCCAGCAAAGCAGCUUCCCCUGGAAAUCCUCAGUGAAGUUAUUUUGUCAGCGGGUGACUCUGCAUAUUUGACACUUUCUCUGGUUUGCAGAUGGUUUAGGGAUGUGGUCACUCAAGAAGUUUGCCUGGCUAGACAUUGUGGCCAACUGGAAGAAUUGUCCUCCUGUCUACCGGAACGAGUUCAGACGGAUGUACAGCAUCAGGGAAUGCUUGCAGUGCAGAGCCCUUUUCAAGUUUAACCCACCAGGGUACAGGGAAGAGGCCGGCGUGGUGAUCUUCUGGGCUUUUGUUUACACAGGAUUUUGUUCCAAGGCAUUUUGUUUUUGCGGCAUGAAACACAUUUGUGUGUUAAGUUCAUUGAAGGGAAAUAGAGAAUGAACUGAGAUCAACUGGUUUUGAUGUAUUAAUUGAUGUCAUUUAAAUUUAAAAUUUGCAGUGUAUAAUGUUUUAGUAAAAAAGCAAUGGCAAACACGUGCAUGACAA